ACAUCCCGGAGACCCUUAGGAAACUAGGGGUGCUUCCAUCUGGAAGGAAAUCUGGAGACAGGUGCUGCAUGGCUGUCGUCAGCUCGUGUCGUGAGAUGUUGGGUUAAGUCCCGCAACGAGCGCAACCCUUGCCUUUAGUUGCCAGCAGUUCGGCUGGGCACUCUAAAGGGACUGCCGGUGUUAAACCGGAGGAAGGUGGGGAUGACGUCAAGUCCUCAUGGCCUUUAUGACCAGGGCUACACACGUACUACAAUGGCCGAUACAAAGGGCAGCGACACUGCGAGGUGAAGCCAAUCCCGUAAAAUCGGUCUCAGUCCGGAUUGGAGUCUGCAACUCGACUCCAUGAAGUUGGAAUCGCUAGUAAUCGUGGAUCAGCAUGCCACGGUGAAUACGUUCCCGGGCCUU
Molecule: ribosomal RNA, 405 nt
Filed under: uncultured Desulfobulbus sp.
Lineage: Bacteria; Pseudomonadati; Thermodesulfobacteriota; Desulfobulbia; Desulfobulbales; Desulfobulbaceae
Description: bacterial SSU rRNA
Rfam family: Bacterial small subunit ribosomal RNA
Source: RNAcentral